This 253-nucleotide ribosomal RNA is filed under the name uncultured bacterium. Its description in RNAcentral is "partial 16S ribosomal RNA". It matches the Rfam family "Bacterial small subunit ribosomal RNA", at positions 524 to 776 of the family's 1533-position model. The record is from RNAcentral.
UGCGAAGGGGGCUAGCGUUGUUCGGAAUCACUGGGCGUAAAGGGCGCGUAGGCGGCUUUAUAAGUCGGGGGUGAAAGCCUGUGGCUCAACCACAGAAUUGCCUUCGAUACUGUAUGGCUUGAGACCGGAAGAGGUAAGUGGAACUGCGAGUGUAGAGGUGAAAUUCGUAGAUAUUCGCAAGAACACCAGUGGCGAAGGCGGCUUACUGGUCCGGUUCUGACGCUGAGGCGCGAAAGCGUGGGGAGCAAACAGG